CGCUCGGGCUCCUGCGUUCCCCUGUCUGGGGCCAGCCGCGUCCGCGCCGCGAGAGGCGAGCCCAUGCCGCCGGAGGAGGCGUUCUGCCGCCCCCGCGGGAGCCUCCCGCCCCUGCGCCGCCGUUUCCCAGCUCCCGGUGCCCUCGGCCCUGUACAGGGCAGCAGCUGUCUGUAGUGAGGCCGCCCGAGUAAAGCGGUGAGCUGCCCGGCGCAGCCAGCCGCCCCCUCGGCCCGGGCGGUUUCCUCCCCCUGUAGCUGUGCGAAGGUAGCUUGAAGGGAGCCCGAAAAGCCUUGGUUUCUUCAGCCAAGGCGCUGGAAACGUGCUCCAACCAACCGGGGGUUUGCGUCUUUUUGUCAGCUCCGGUCGGGAUUUUUCUGGUUUGGGAGGAGUUACAUGAAGUGGUGCUGUUGAAGACCUGCUGAAACUUGUAGUUAAACUCUCUCCAGAGUGGAUUUUCAUCGAUGAAUGCUAAUUUAAACAGUGAGGACAAAGGAACAGUGAAGAUUUUUUUUAAAAAAAGAACAGAACUGUAAACAGCUGAAUCCUCAAAAGGUAUAAAGUAGUAUUUCUCUGCUCUGAAGUCCCACGUGCACUGCAUAUUCAUGAAUGCAUGUCUCUCUUCAGUAUAUCUUUGGCAUAUUGCCAUAUUUAACGUAGAGUAAAAACUUUAAGAUUUCAUCAACUUACUCUGUUGAAAAAGCACAAAUGACAUGGCAAAAUAAAAUACAACUUCCAAGUAGAAAAAGGAGAAGGCAUGAAAGCAAGCAAGAUAUAUUACAUAUGCUGGUUAUACUGUGCAACAUUGGUAAAUUCUAAUCAGAGCGAAAGCCCCUUUCGAUUGAAAAGGAGCUAAUGUAGGUAGGACAGAUUGGUAGAAAAAUUCUUUUAAAUGCAGUAGUUUGCUGUUCUUGAAAAAAAAUUAUCUCAUUUUCUAUGAAAGCUUGUCUCCACAAAAUGUCUUCUGGGUCCUUAGCAGUUGUGAUUUCAUAUUUGGUACAGUGAUAGGAAGGGUGAGGAAAAUUGCUGUGUGAGGUUUAAUCCUCCCUUGCUUCUGAAGGAUGAAGAAGCUGAACUAUCAUCCCCAGUACAUGUUACAGUAGUCCCAAGUCUGCUUUAGCUUAUCGUGAAGCAAACAGCUCCUUAAGGACAAUUCCCCACUACCCCAAAACUGCUAGAAUCCAUUGCACUCUCCAGAAUGCUCCCUGCACCAAGAAGGUGGAGAGCAUUUGCCAAAUGUGUGAUUCUACUUUGCUUGCUGAGGGU
Long non-coding RNA from Grus americana (Whooping crane), 1263 nucleotides. RefSeq lists it as uncharacterized. Lineage: Eukaryota; Metazoa; Chordata; Aves; Gruiformes; Gruidae. The transcript is spliced from 5 exons. The record is from RefSeq and is a predicted model, not a curated record.